Molecule: ribosomal RNA, 92 nt
Filed under: Aeromonas hydrophila
Lineage: Bacteria; Pseudomonadati; Pseudomonadota; Gammaproteobacteria; Aeromonadales; Aeromonadaceae
Source: RNAcentral
GCGCCGUGGAACCACCUGAACCCAUGCCGAACUCAGAAGUGAAACGCGGUAGCGCCGAUGGUAGUGUGGCAUUCGCCAUGCGAGAGUAGGAC